AGCGAACGCUGGCGGCAUGCUUAACACAUGCAAGUCGAGCGGGCACUUCUGUGUCAGCGGCAUACGGGUGAUUAACACGUGGGAACGUACCCUUUGUUUCGGAAUAACGCGGGGAAACUAGCGCUAAUACCGGAUACGCCCUUUUGGGGAAAGGCUUUCUGCCGAAGGAUGGGCCCGCGUCUGAUUGGCUAUUUGGUUGGGUAAUGGCCUACCAAGGCCACGGUCAGUAGCUGGUCUGGGAGGAUGAUCAGCCACACUGGGACUGAGACACGGACCAGACCCCUACGGGAAGCAGCAGGGGGGACUAUUGGACGAUGGGCGAAAGACUGAUCCAGCCAUGCCGCGUGAGUGAUGAAGGCCUUAGGGUUGUAAAGCUCUCUUGCCCGGGACGAUCAUGACGGUACCGGAAGAAUAAGCCACGGCUAACUACGUG
RNAcentral lists this ribosomal RNA (433 nucleotides) under uncultured bacterium. RNAcentral's name for it is "partial 16S ribosomal RNA". It matches the Rfam family "Bacterial small subunit ribosomal RNA", at positions 29 to 507 of the family's 1533-position model. The record is from RNAcentral.